AUGCCCGUGCCGACAAUGCAAAGAAAUCAGCUGCUAGUAAAAGAAAAUUACAUGCAAGUUAUUGCGGGUAAACGUCGUUGUCUUCCACCUACACUCGCCGGUGGCGCGUCGUGGGCGAAUCUUGAUGCUGCAUCUCAGAUCCAGACCAUCAUCCAUCUUCAGUACCUAUGUCUUGGGACAACCAGAUGCAUUUACCACUUGCUAUUUCUACAUUUUACCAUUUGAGUAUUCUAGAUCUAGGAUUGUGGAAAGGUUGUCGUGAUUUUCCCAAAGACAUGAGCAACCUUGCAAAAUUGUGUCAUUUUUAUACCCCACGUAUUGAGCUUCACUCUGAGAUUUCUAAUGUGGGAAAACUUAAACUCUUAGAAGAGUUAAAGGUAUUUAGAGUCAAUAAAGAAAGUGAAGGAUUUGAAACCAAGCAACUAGAGCAUUUGACCGAGUUGAGGAAGCUUGGCAUCUAUAACCUUGAGAAAAUACACACAAAAGAAGAAGCAUCCGAAGCAAAACUGAUAGAGAAAAAGUACUUGGAGAGGUUAACAUUGGAUUGGGAUAGUAAGCGGGCGAACGUUGAUCCUGGUGUGGAAGCAUUAGUUCUUGAGAGCCUUCAACCACAUAGAUAUCUUCAAAAGUUGUCCAUUAGAGGGCACAUGGGCUCUUUUUGUCCAAAAUGGUUGGGUGAUGAGCUCGAUGUCAAAGCUCUACAAUCUCGUUGUCUCUCUGGUGUUUCUUGGAAAGAUUUCCCUCCUCUCGGGAAGAUGUUUGAUCUUCGUGAAGUAACAUUGGAGUGCAUUGCCACAAUGAAGGAGUUUGUUAUAGAACAAAGCUUUUGCAGGUUAACAAAGCUUACACUCAGUGGCUUGAAUUCUUUUGAAAAAUGGGUGCCAUCACAGGACGCCAAUCAUCUGUUCCCUGCUCUGCAAGUAUUGCUUAUCAGAGAUUGCCCCAAACUUUCAGUGUUGCCAUUCUCAAACCAGGUUGUUUGCCCACCAGAUCAAGAUAGGAACAUGGAUUGGUUUCCCAAACUGCAAAAGCUUGGGAUAGUAAACUGUCCAAAUUUUUUUUUAGUAGCUCGUAUCCCCUGGACUGAAACCCUGAAUCAAGUGAACAUGAGAGAUGUAAAGCUAUUGGAGAAGUUUCAGUACUCAAAAUCAUCUCAUGGAAUAAGAUUGAGUAUUAGUGGAAAAGAUGAUCUGCAUAGCAUAGAUCAAGUGUUAGCAUCUGAUAUCCUGACAGAGGUUACGGAUUUGACACUCGAGAAGGGCCCAUGUCUGGAGUUGAGGCACCUUGUGAUGCUAACCUCACUGAACAUUGUGACAUUCAGGAAUUACCGAUCUCAUGUGUUUGCACCAAGAUCAAGUUCUCUGGUUGAGACAUCAGGAGGUCAUGGUGACGUCAAAAGGAAUCUUCCUGCUCUUGAGAAUCUUCGGGUCAUGAGUUGUGGUGCUAGUGGAAAGGAAUUGACAGAGCUGCUCACUCACCUCCCAAGGCUCUCCGACUUGUCAAUCUGGGAUUGUGAAAAGAUAACACAGCUGGCAGUGGGGGUGGAUCUGCAACAAACAACGUCAGCAGCAGUGUCGGGAAGAGAAGAUGGUGGGUUGCUGCUCUUGCCUGGCCAUCUCUCUGACUCACUACGGGACUUGAUGAUCCGUAACAACCCAGAGCUAGUCUUGGUGGACCCGCCAAGUCUUCUUCCUGGCGGAGGAGGAGGGCUCCAGGCCCUGCGUUUCCUCCAGGAGAUUGCAAUUUGGGGCUGCCCCAAGUUCCUGUCGGCCUGCUUGGUUUCCUCUCCUUCCCGUUCCCUUUUCCCGUCCUCCCUGCAAUCCCUCGAGCUCCAGGGGGUGAAAGGCAUGGGGACGCUGGAGCUCCUCUCAAACCUCACCUCUCUCACCAGUUUGGAUUUGACGAAUUGCGGAGAGGAUCUAAGAUGCGAGGGCCUGGGGCCUCUCCUUGGUCAGCUCCGCGAAUUAACCGUCUUUUCCAGCCCCAAAUUCUUUGCGGGUUGGAAUCCUAAUGCCAGGCGGGUGCUGCAGCAUGAAGGAGGAGGAGAAGAGCAGCGGCGGCAAAUUGUUUCCCCUCUCCCGACUUCAUCCAAACUGCAGCUGCUCUAUACGGAUGAGGCCGAGGGACUCCUUGCUGCGCCCAUCUGCAGCCUCCUCUCUUCCUCCCUCGCCGAGCUGCGACUUUGGGGGACCAAAGACGCCCAUCUCGAGAGCUUCAGCAAUGACGGCCUUCACCUCCUCACCUCCCUCCAGGAACUUGAAUUUAACUGUUUCGACGAGCUUCAGCACCUCCCUGCAGGGCUGCACAAGCUCCCCAACCUCAAGAGAUUAGAAGUCGACCGCUGUCCAGCCCUCCGGUCCCUGCCUGACGAGGGCCUCCCCAAAUCGCUGAAACACCUAGAUGUCAGAAGGUGUGGCAACGAGGAGCUAAUACAGCAGUGCAGGGGGUUAGUGGGAACCAUACCAGAAAUCGUUCUGGAAGAUUAGGACUGACACAAGGCCUCUGCCUUGGGGAUCCCUCGUAUAUUCUUCUAUUCUAGUCCUGUCGAGCUCAACUCUCCACACAUGCAGAAUUGCCGUAUGGAUGAGGGUCUUGGGCAAUGUUUUAUUCUGUACAUAACUCUGGUGUUAUGUUUAUUCUCAAAGGAUUCUGCAUACUUUUGAUUUAAAUUUGGGUGGUCAUCAACCAUCAAGACUCGGUGAUGUACCUGUCUAGUUAAGGUGUGCGGAUCAAAAUAUCACCAUGGCAUAAAUCAAAAGUGCAGGUCACUAAUUAAGAGUUAACAAGUCAGAACUUUGUAUUCAGCAACUAAUAUUAAGGUUUGCAAUUUUUUUCAUCCACUGCCAUAUUGCUAUAGAAUAUAGAUACCAGGUGCUUUCGUAUUGACCAUUUUUCCUUGCGUGCUGUACUACAGGGUUUCUUUUGUUUGCUCUCAUAGGAUUCUACUCCCUCCGAUC
RNA transcript from Brachypodium distachyon (stiff brome), 2957 nucleotides. RefSeq lists it as uncharacterized. The record is from RefSeq and is a predicted model, not a curated record. The transcript has 6 exons. NCBI's taxonomy places the organism in Eukaryota, Viridiplantae, Streptophyta, Magnoliopsida, Poales, Poaceae.